ACCAGGUGAGUCUACAUUCAGUCAAAUUGUCAAUGUUUACAUAAUCGUUAAAACUACGACAUGUACGAUAAAAAGACGACUGUUGUCGUAUCUAAAGAUAUAAGACAGUGAAAACAUGAAUGUGAUUUACGACAUAAUCGUUUAUCAUAUCGCUCAAUCAAACAGUUAUGAUAAUCGUAAUCUUACGAAGUGUCGUUUUCAGUUGUUUUUCCUCAUACUUCUGUUGAGAAGUUUGUAUGAACGGGAAAUUACGGUUUCUUACUUCGAAGCAAUAUACGAAACUUUACCCCUGUAUCACGUCUACAUUUCUUAACUUAUACAAUAUUCCAAAAAUACAAUACAAAACUUCGAGGAAAAGUUAAAUCUUAAACAUGAUAAAAAUCCCACAACAAAUCGCAAAAGCAACAGCUCAAACAUUACAAAAACAAAGAUACAACUGUCCUAUUCUUGCCUUGGUACAAUAUUUUUUUUUAUAUAAACUGGUUCUUUUUGCAGUAUAAUUGAUAAACAAUUUUAACAUGAAAACUGGUUGCAAAUUUAAAAAAUCAAAUUAGCACAUUGCAUCCCAUAAACAUCAAGUUGCUUGUAUAGCGGGACAUUCGUCAAAUUUAAAUUAAUUAAAUCAUACAU
Molecule: long non-coding RNA, 630 nt
Filed under: Mytilus galloprovincialis (Mediterranean mussel)
Lineage: Eukaryota; Metazoa; Mollusca; Bivalvia; Mytilida; Mytilidae
Source: RNAcentral